GUCUACGACCAUAGCGCCCCGUACUCACCCAGUCUUGUCCGAGCUUGGCCACUCAGCGGGGUCGGGCCUGAUGGGCACUUGGAUGGGAAACUCUGGGUUUGGUUCCUGAGGCCACCUUGACU
This 122-nucleotide ribosomal RNA is filed under the name Propithecus coquereli (Coquerel's sifaka). Lineage: Eukaryota; Metazoa; Chordata; Mammalia; Primates; Indriidae. The record is from RNAcentral.